Molecule: non-coding RNA, 125 nt
Organism: Agelaius phoeniceus (red-winged blackbird)
Lineage: Eukaryota; Metazoa; Chordata; Aves; Passeriformes; Icteridae
Source: RefSeq, a predicted model, not a curated record
UGUGAAUCCAUAGCAAGAAGCAAAGGAAACUCUCCUCCUUGGAUCAACAGUCCCUGGUGAGGAAUCCAUCCAUUCAACUGGCUUGAUCAAUGAGCCAUUACAGAGGAUUCACUGGCUGGACCAUA